GUUUUAUUAUGAGCAUUAAUUUCAUGAAUAUGUCUUACAAAAAUAGCAUGAUUAUGAAGCAUGAAUUUCAUUAUUUUUCUAUUUAUGUAUAUCUAUGUUUUAAGAAAAAGAUAAAAUGAUUUCAAAGGCUCUUAGAUAGCUAUGAAUGAAUCUCUUCGAGAAGAUCGACAUCCGGAGCUAGCAUCCACACAAAACAUGGCCCUGCC
RNAcentral lists this long non-coding RNA (206 nucleotides) under Elaeis guineensis (African oil palm). RNAcentral's name for it is "long non-coding RNA (EGUI_LNC013400)". The record is from RNAcentral. Lineage: Eukaryota; Viridiplantae; Streptophyta; Magnoliopsida; Arecales; Arecaceae.